ACCUAAGAUAGUGGAUUUUGUGCAGUGUCCACACAGAUUGUCUGAUGAAAGAAUGAAGAGACGGUAUCGGCAUAGGCUUGUAGCUCAGGUGGUUAGAGCGCACCCCUGAUAAGGGUGAGGUCGGUGGUUCAAGUCCACUCAGGCCUACCAAAUCUCAUUUAUCCGGCGUUAUAAACAGACUCGCUUAUUUCAAUAAGCGUCGCCCGUUUAUGCCUGGUCUAAAUAAGAUUGCUGUGCAUCACGAUACGGAAUUUAUGGGGCUAUAGCUCAGCUGGGAGAGCGCCUGCCUUGCACGCAGGAGGUCGGCGGUUCGAUCCCGCUUAGCUCCACCAUACUCUUCGUCUGCAAUAACGUAUCUCAGAACACAUUGACAUGAGUGUGUUGUGACAUAUUUGCUCUUUAACAAUCUGGAACAAGCUGAAAAUUUGAAACAAUCAGCUUAUCGUCAGCGACGGUAAGACUGAUGAGUCUCUCAAUAGACUCCAACCUGAAGACACCUUCGGGUUGUGA
This 510-nucleotide transfer RNA is filed under the name Xenorhabdus szentirmaii. Its description in RNAcentral is "16S-23S ribosomal RNA intergenic spacer". The stretch from base 257 to 329 matches the Rfam family "tRNA". The record is from RNAcentral. Lineage: Bacteria; Pseudomonadati; Pseudomonadota; Gammaproteobacteria; Enterobacterales; Morganellaceae.